UACGUGGGGGGCAAGCGUUGUUCGGAAUUACUGGGCGUAAAGGGCUCGUAGGUGGCCAACUAAGUCAGACGUGAAAUCCCUCAGCUUAACUGGGGAACUGCGUCUGAUACUGGAUGGCUUGAGAUUGGGAGAGGGAUGGGGAAUUCCAGGUGUAGCGGUGAAAUGCGUAGAUAUCUGGAGGAACACCGGUGGCGAAGGCGGCAUCCUGGACCAACACUGACACUGAGGAGCGAAAGCCAGGGGAGCAAACGGG
Molecule: ribosomal RNA, 253 nt
Filed under: uncultured bacterium
Lineage: Bacteria
Description: partial 16S ribosomal RNA
Rfam family: Bacterial small subunit ribosomal RNA
Source: RNAcentral